AACGAACGCUGGCGGCAUGCCUAACACAUGCAAGUCGAACGAGACCUUCGGGUCUAGUGGCGCACGGGUGCGUAACGCGUGGGAACUUGCCCUUAGGUUCGGAAUAACUCCCCGAAAGGGGUGCUAAUACCGGAUAAUGUCUUCGGACCAAAGAUUUAUCGCCUUUGGAUGGGCCCGCGUUGGAUUAGCUAGUUGGUAGGGUAAAAGCCUACCAAGGCGACGAUCCAUAGCUGGUCUGAGAGGAUGAUCAGCCACACUGGGACUGAGACACGGCCCAGACUCCUACGGGAAGCAGCAGUGGGGAAUAUUGGACAAUGGGCGAAAGCCUGAUCCAGCAAUGCCGCGUGAGUGAUGAAGGCCUUAGGGUUGUAAAGCUCUUUUACCCGGGAUGAUAAUGACAGUACCGGGAGAAUAAGCUCCGGCUAACUCCGUG
RNAcentral lists this ribosomal RNA (433 nucleotides) under uncultured bacterium. RNAcentral describes it as "partial 16S ribosomal RNA". It matches the Rfam family "Bacterial small subunit ribosomal RNA", at positions 29 to 507 of the family's 1533-position model. The record is from RNAcentral.